AACGAACGCUGGCGGCGUGGAUAAGACAUGCAAGUCGAACGGGACAUUUUUAGUAGUAAUAUUAGAGAUGUUCAGUGGCGAACGGGUGCGUAACACGUGGAUACAUUCCGGAAAGCGGGGGAUAGCCCAGGGAAACUUGGAUUAAUACCGCAUGUGGUCGCAAGACUAAAGACGGGGAUCGAAUGACCUGUCACUUUCCGAUUGGUCCGCGGCCUAUCAGCUAGUUGGCGGGGUAAAAGCCCACCAAGGCGACGACGGGUAGCUGGUCUUAGAGGACGACCAGCCACACUGGAACUGAGACACGGUCCAGACACCUACGGGUGGCAGCAGUCGAGAAUCUUUCACAAUGGGGGCAACCCUGAUGGAGCGACGCCGCGUGGAGGAUAAGGUCUUCGGAUUGUAAACUCCUGUCAUGCGAGAACAAGGUUGCAGGGCUAAUACCCGUGCAAAUUGAUGGUACCGCAAGAGGAAGAGACGGCUAGCUCUGUGCCAGCAGCCGCAGUAA
Molecule: ribosomal RNA, 505 nt
Filed under: uncultured bacterium
Lineage: Bacteria
Description: partial 16S ribosomal RNA
Rfam family: Bacterial small subunit ribosomal RNA
Source: RNAcentral